GACGAACGCUGGCGGCGUGCUUAACACAUGCAAGUCGAACGAUGACGACCGAGCUUGCUCGGUCUGAUUAGUGGCGAACGGGUGAGUAACACAUGAGCAACCUGCCCUUCACUCUGGGAUAACCUCGGGAAAUCGGGGCUAAUACCGGAUAUGAGCUCCUGUCGCAUGGCGGGUGUUGGAAAGUUUUUCGGUGAAGGAUGGGCUCGCGGCCUAUCAGUUUGUUGGUGAGGUAGUGGCUCACCAAGGCGAUGACGGGUAGCCGGCCUGAGAGGGCGACCGGCCACACUGGGACUGAGACACGGCCCAGACUCCUACGGGAGGCAGCAGUGGGGAAUAUUGCACAAUGGGCGAAAGCCUGAUGCAGCGACGCCGCGUGAGGGAUGACGGCCUUCGGGUUGUAAACCUCUUUCAGCAGGGAAGAAGCGAAAGUGACGGUACCUGCAGAAGAAGCGCCGGCUAACUACGUG
Molecule: ribosomal RNA, 467 nt
Filed under: uncultured bacterium
Lineage: Bacteria
Description: partial 16S ribosomal RNA
Rfam family: Bacterial small subunit ribosomal RNA
Source: RNAcentral